Molecule: ribosomal RNA, 275 nt
Filed under: uncultured bacterium
Lineage: Bacteria
Description: partial 16S ribosomal RNA
Rfam family: Bacterial small subunit ribosomal RNA
Source: RNAcentral
CGUCCUACGGGAGGCAGCAGUAGGGAAUCUUCCACAAUGGGCGAAAGCCUGAUGGAGCAACGCCGCGUGGGUGAAGAAGGUCUUCGGAUCGUAAAAUCCUGUUGUUAGAGAAGAAAGGGCGUGAGAGUAACUGUUCACGUCUCGACGGUAUCUAACCAGAAAGCCACGGCUAACUACGUGCCAGCAGCCGCGGUAAUACGUAGGUGGCAAGCGUUAUCCGGAUUUAUUGGGUGUACAGGGCGUGCAGCCGGAGAGACAAGUCAGAUGUGAAAUCA